RNAcentral lists this ribosomal RNA (458 nucleotides) under Streptococcus constellatus. Its description in RNAcentral is "bacterial SSU rRNA". It matches the Rfam family "Bacterial small subunit ribosomal RNA", at positions 30 to 470 of the family's 1533-position model. Lineage: Bacteria; Bacillati; Bacillota; Bacilli; Lactobacillales; Streptococcaceae. The record is from RNAcentral.
CGAACGCUGGCGGCGUGCCUAAUACAUGCAAGUAGAACGCACAGGAUGCACCGUAGUUUACUACACCGUAUUCUGUGAGUUGCGAACGGGUGAGUAACGCGUAGGUAACCUGCCUGGUAGUGGGGGAUAACUAUUGGAAACGAUAGCUAAUACCGCAUAAGAACAUUUACUGCAUGGUAGAUGUUUAAAAGGUGCAAAAGCAUCACUACCAGAUGGACCUGCGUUGUAUUAGCUAGUUGGUGAGGUAACGGCUCACCAAGGCAACGAUACAUAGCCGACCUGAGAGGGUGAUCGGCCACACUGGGACUGAGACACGGCCCAGACUCCUACGGGAGGCAGCAGUAGGGAAUCUUCGGCAAUGGGGGGAACCCUGACCGAGCAACGCCGCGUGAGUGAAGAAGGUUUUCGGAUCGUAAAGCUCUGUUGUUAAGGAAGAACGUGUGUGAGAGUGGAAAGUU